Molecule: long non-coding RNA, 634 nt
Organism: Suricata suricatta (meerkat)
Lineage: Eukaryota; Metazoa; Chordata; Mammalia; Carnivora; Herpestidae
Exons: 2
Source: RefSeq, a predicted model, not a curated record
CCAGACUCUAAAGCCACAGGAAGGAGAAACUUCCCAGUUUGUCACUGGUCUUUAGCACUAAUGAAACAUUUUAAUGCGAUUCAAGUCCAACUGAGAGAAAAGGAUCGCACCGCGAGACUCCGGAUUCUUGGGGAGGCCGCUUCUACCACCACAACUCCCUCCCCAGGGUCCCUGGUGUCACUGACCGAUUGAGGAUGAGCACCAAGUGCAGGAGGCCAAUGACAAAGACGGAGCACAGAUGCAGGAUCCUGAGCCCCUAGCCACUUGUCUUGGGGAUCUAGAAGUACAAUUCCUGAUUCAUGAAGACUCCAAAAUCUCCAGCCAUGGUCUCCUCUCUCUAUGGACCCAAAAUGCUUAUCACUUGAAGACCUACAAAUUCAGGCUCCAGUGCCCCCUUCCACAGAGACACAGAAACCUCCGCAGGGGACUCGGGCUGGGGUGGGGAUGGGGUGCCUCCUUGGCUGUGGGCAUCAGCCUUUCCCUGGGGCACAAUAAUGCUGCCCCCUCAUCCUUGGGGGCCUAAAGAGUCUGUAAAAAGGCUGGAUUUUCCCUGUUGCCAAAAGGGGAGACCUCUUCCCCUCUCUCUCUUCUUCAGCCAUUUCCCCGAGGAAACACAGUUUUCUGAGCGUCUGGA